UAUUCCACCAUGGUAGCUCUCUCUACCUCUACUUUCUUCCAUUAAUCAACAUAAUUUCUAAUUUUCUCACUUAGAAGACAAUGGAUGAGUGAGGGAAGGGAUUUUCAUGGCUGACCAUCAAUAGCUACCUCAACAUUUAUAAGAGCUCCUAACUUGCUUCUCAUCUUAUGCAAUAGUUCAUGAAAUGUUUCUAAGCCAUAAUUUGAGUUAGUGUUUGAGAAAGAAGGGAGUUGAAGUAUGGAGGGAAGGUGUUUUUAUUGAAAAAUUUGCUUAGAUUGAGGGUUAUCAUUAGGUGUGGUGAUCACUGGAGAAUUUAUAUAGACCUUAAUUGACUCUAGAUACCCUUCUUGCG
This 352-nucleotide unclassified non-coding RNA is filed under the name Hevea brasiliensis (rubber tree). The record is from RNAcentral. Lineage: Eukaryota; Viridiplantae; Streptophyta; Magnoliopsida; Malpighiales; Euphorbiaceae.